GCGCGCAGAGUUUCGAGAGUGUCACGAUAGCCUUUAGCGCGUUCAGUUCUCGGUGGAGAGUCAUCAUCCUCAUCCUCGUCUUCGUCGAUCGUGGCAGCCCGUAACUACGCGUUUUGAUCGACAGAGGGCGAAGGCAAGGGGACCGCGGAGGGAGACGGAGCAAUGUAUCGAGCACACUGUGUAACCAUACGUAAACGCGAAAAUACGUCUAAAAAUGUGUAUUCGAAUUCGCGAAGGAUUUUCCAAACGAGUUAACGAAUAAAAAGUGUAUUUUCAUUACGGUCGAGAAAACAAGGAUUUAUGGUAGUGCGUUGUAGCUGUCUCGAGUUUGGUGAGGAAGCCAACGGACCAAGGGGGGCUCCGGAACGGGAGGGAAAAGGGGCGAAGCGGCCGAGGGGGUGAGGGGGGUUGGCUAGGAGAGCCAAGAGAAGCAGCAGUGGGCACGACGGUGACGAGGAGUUCGGUCCUCUCGCUGCCGUUGCUUUAUUUUCCUCGUUAACGCGUUCCGCAAUGUUUUCUCUGGUUUUGCUUUGUCGUUUCGCCAUCUCUCUCUCUUUCGCGCUCGGUUAUCGUUUAAUUUACGACUCCGUAUUUUUUUUUUUCCAUCGACGAGUUUCCAACACGCGUCGUCCGCCUCUACUACUUACAUUGUACUCCUUGUCAAGGGAUUUCAACAAUCUUUCGUGUCACGAAUGCGAGAAGCGCGGCGGCGGGCCAGCCUGGCAAUGGCGACGACGACUGAACUGUGUGUGGCUCGACGGCUCCUCCGUAAGUUCUCUCUUCGGUCGCGCGUGCCCUCCCUGCCUCUCCGAGUAAAGUGCGCGGCCCUACCAACGUGCCGCGCGCGCGGCGGUGGCGGCGGCUCUCUCUCGAACGACUCGAACGCUGCGCCACUAGUGACAGAACCUCGCAACUUUCGGCCGACCCUUGUUUUCGUCGCCUCCGUAUUCCAUGUGUUCUUCGUGAGAGUCGUCUGACUGACGCUCUCGGCUCCUGAUAUAUAUACACCGACAAACGAGCGACGCGCUCUACAACCCAUCGCAGUCACCUGAUUGGACGAUACUGCUAUUCUACCCCCCCACUCUAUUCAUUUUUCUUUUCUAUCGUUUUCCCCAAUUAACCCCCACGUCGUCGGAAGCGACCAACCAAUCGGCCAGCUUUUUGCCUCGCGUCGAACCGUAGCGCGGUGAAUGUCAUGUUGUGUUGCUGCUAGUCACUCAGUCCCUUCUUUCUGACUAUACACGCAGAGUUUGAACGACUCGUGGUAAAGUACGUAAACGUCGUCAAGCUAUAAGCUGCUACUUGCGGUGCGGUGCGCAGGGGUCCGUGACGCGCUACUCUCCGCCGUAGGAGGCGACGGAGUAAAGCGCGCCUAGCCGUUCGGCACGUCCAGAGCCGCAAUAUCGCGUUUUCAGCCAUAUAACUUGAUGUCUAGACAUCGACAACAGCACCAGCAACCGAAUUCGAACGACGGAGGCAGACAGAAAAAGAGAAAGAGAAAGAGAGAACCAAAGAAUAUUAUCGUCAACUCCUUAUAAUCGUACUUUUCCCAUUUUGCUCUUUUUUUCCCCCUCGUACGCAUUUGCACAAAUGAAAAAUAAAGUUUUUCGACUCCUUGUAGUCGAAGGAACAUUUUGACGAUCAA
RNAcentral lists this long non-coding RNA (1645 nucleotides) under Venturia canescens. RNAcentral's name for it is "uncharacterized LOC122419301". The record is from RNAcentral. Lineage: Eukaryota; Metazoa; Arthropoda; Insecta; Hymenoptera; Ichneumonidae.